This 402-nucleotide ribosomal RNA is filed under the name uncultured bacterium. Its description in RNAcentral is "bacterial SSU rRNA". It matches the Rfam family "Bacterial small subunit ribosomal RNA", at positions 975 to 1375 of the family's 1533-position model. The record is from RNAcentral.
CAAGUCUUGACAUCCCUCUGAAACCUCUAGAGAUAGAGGCGGCCUUCGGGACAGAGGUGACAGGUGGUGCAUGGUUGUCGUCAGCUCGUGUCGUGAGAUGUUGGGUUAAGUCCCGCAACGAGCGCAACCCUUGAUUUUAGUUGCCAGCAGGUAAGGCUGGGCACUCUAGAAUGACUGCCGGUGACAAACCGGAGGAAGGCGGGGAUGACGUCAAAUCAUCAUGCCCCUUAUGACUUGGGCUACACACGUACUACAAUGGCUGGUACAACGGGAAGCGAAGCCGCGAGGUGGAGCCAAUCCUAUAAAAGCCAGUCUCAGUUCGGAUUGCAGGCUGCAACUCGCCUGCAUGAAGUCGGAAUUGCUAGUAAUCGCGGAUCAGCAUGCCGCGGUGAAUACGUUCCC